GAUGAACGCUGGCGGCGUGCCUAAUACAUGCAAGUCGAGCGAACAGACGAGGAGCUUGCUCCUCUGACGUUAGCGGCGGACGGGUGAGUAACACGUGGAUAACCUACCUAUAAGACUGGGAUAACUUCGGGAAACCGGAGCUAAUACCGGAUAAUAUAUUGAACCGCAUGGUUCAAUAGUGAAAGACGGUUUUGCUGUCACUUAUAGAUGGAUCCGCGCCGCAUUAGCUAGUUGGUAAGGUAACGGCUUACCAAGGCGACGAUGCGUAGCCGACCUGAGAGGGUGAUCGGCCACACUGGAACUGAGACACGGUCCAGACUCCUACGGGAGGCAGCAGUAGGGAAUCUUCCGCAAUGGGCGAAAGCCUGACGGAGCAACGCCGCGUGAGUGAUGAAGGUCUUCGGAUCGUAAAACUCUGUUAUUAGGGAAGAACAAAUGUGUAAGUAACGAUGCACGUCUUGACGGGACCUAAUCAGAAAGCCACGGCUAACUACGU
Molecule: ribosomal RNA, 496 nt
Filed under: uncultured bacterium
Lineage: Bacteria
Description: partial 16S ribosomal RNA
Rfam family: Bacterial small subunit ribosomal RNA
Source: RNAcentral